GCCGAAGUGGCGGAACUGGCAGACGCGCUACGUUCAGGGCGUAGUGGGCGUGAGCCCGUGGGAGUUCAAAUCUCCCCUUCGGCACCA
This 87-nucleotide transfer RNA is filed under the name Thermorudis peleae. Its description in RNAcentral is "tRNA-Leu". It matches the Rfam family "tRNA". Rfam says of the family: Transfer RNA (tRNA) molecules are approximately 80 nucleotides in length. Their secondary structure includes four short double-helical elements and three loops (D, anti-codon, and T loops). RNAcentral also lists the same sequence under 2 other names. Lineage: Bacteria; Pseudomonadati; Thermomicrobiota; Thermomicrobia. The record is from RNAcentral.